CCGAGAAAGGAAAUGUUAGAUCAAUAUAUCGAUACAAUAUGCUGUUUUGUUUGUUUUUGACUAUUUUAGUCUGUUCGGUGCAAUUUUUGACGUUGUAACUUGCGCGUAAGUCUUUCAUUUGGACUCUGGCGAUAGUCCAGAUUUUACGCGCAUUGAUACAAGUGGAGUGCUUCUACCCUGUGUGGAAUCCAGUCAGUACAGGGCGGCCAUAAACCAUGUGUGAGGUGAGGCGGAUAUUUGCCACGACUGAAAGUGUCUUUGCAUUUUAGAUCAACCCUGAGGUGUUCAGCAUGACACAUGAAUGUGGUGAUCUCUGGAGUGUUCCUUAGAAUAGAAGUGUGGCAAAUCGCCUCAAUAUCCAGAGCAGGAUGCUGUCACAACACUACCAGCCUCUUGACUAGAUCAAGAGCAGCGGCUGCAACUACUCUUCUGUACACCCAGAUACAAACAUAAGAAGCAAAAUUAUUGGAAACGGCAGGACAUCCAGCUUACUCAUGGUUUGUUUAGCUUGGUCUGUUAUUACAGCUGUCCAGCCUCUUGGAAACCCAGACUUCGGGGACUGUGCCUCUGGCUCAGUGGGGGCUGGUUCAUCUAAGUUAGACGGGUUUGCUGGAUGUCGAGGCCACAAAUGAUGUUUCAUUCAUUUUGCUGUCGUCCCUAGUGUUAUGCUAACUCUUGAAAAUAAACUACAGAAAUAUUUUGUAAGCAGCCUCUU
Branchiostoma floridae (Florida lancelet) is the source of this 715-nucleotide long non-coding RNA. RefSeq lists it as uncharacterized. The transcript has 2 exons. The record is from RefSeq and is a predicted model, not a curated record. NCBI's taxonomy places the organism in Eukaryota, Metazoa, Chordata, Leptocardii, Amphioxiformes, Branchiostomatidae.